AUGAAGAGUAUCAUGGUGGAUGUCAAUCGCAUCCGAAACUUAGCAACCAAGAACUCGUUUGUUGCUCAUGAAGCUUGCCGUCGUUCCUGGAAGAGUCUCACUUUGCUCUGCGCUGAAGAUGAUCUUCGCACAGAUGGAUACAUUGAACACUUCAAGUUUGAUUCCAGGCCUCCGCAAAAUGUAAGUUGGCGUCGCACACCCUCCCUUGAAGAUUCUGAGUACUCAUCCUCGGCUGCAACUGUUGUUGCGAGAUUCGUCGAUGAAGAAGAUGACGCCACUUCUCCUGCUCUCACUGCUCAGCAUGAUGAUGAUGCAUCAGGCCUAUCUGCACCACCAAACUCCACCGUCGACCCUGCUGCACCAACUUCUUCACCAACUGGGAACGAGUAG
This 390-nucleotide ribosomal RNA is filed under the name Triticum aestivum (bread wheat). RNAcentral describes it as "partial small subunit ribosomal RNA". The record is from RNAcentral. Lineage: Eukaryota; Viridiplantae; Streptophyta; Magnoliopsida; Poales; Poaceae.